AUACUCUCUUGUGACCGAUAGUGAACCAGUACCGUGAGGGAAAGGUGAAAAGUACUCCUGUGAGGAGAGUGAAAUAGUACCUGAAACCGUAUGCUUACAAUCAGUCGGAGUCUUUCUAGGUCUUCGGACUUAGCGGGAUGACGGCGUGCCUUUUGCAUAAUGAGCUAGCGAGUUACUUGUGUGUUGCAAGGCUAAUCCGUUAAGCGGAGAAACCGUAGCGAAAGCGAGUCUGAAUAGGGCGACCAUAGUAACAUGCAGUAGACCCGAAACCGAGUGAGCUACCCAUGGCCAGGAUGAAGUUCCGGUAACACGGAAUGGAGGUCCGAACCGGUGUAGGUUGAAAACUGCUCGGAUGAGCUGUGGGUAGGGGUGAAAGGCCAAUCAAACUCGGUGAUAGCUGGUUCUCCCCGAAAUAGCUUUAGGGCUAGCCUCGCAUUAGUAUCACGGAGGUAGAGCACUGGAUGGACUAGGGGCCCCACAAGGUUACCAAACCCAACCAAACUCCGAAUGCCGUUGAUAUGAUGUGCGGGAGUCAGGGCGUGGGGGAUAAGCUUCACGUCCGAGAGGGAAACAACCCAGAUCACCAGCUAAGGUCCCCAAAUACAGGUUAAGUGAUAAAGGAUGUAAGAUCGCUUAGACAACCAGGAUGUUGGCUUAGAAGCAGCCAUUCAUUUAAAGAGUGCGUAAUAGCUCACUGGUCAAGUAAUCUUGCGCCGAAAAUGAUCGGGACUUAAGCCUGUUACCGAAGCUGUGG
RNAcentral lists this ribosomal RNA (754 nucleotides) under marine sediment metagenome. RNAcentral's name for it is "LSU rRNA". It matches the Rfam family "Bacterial large subunit ribosomal RNA", at positions 470 to 1205 of the family's 2925-position model. The record is from RNAcentral.